UAUGAAAUUUCACACAAAACUUUUUGAGGUUCUGAUUAUCGAAUUGCUGACCAUUGUCAGUGAUGAUGGUGUGUGAUAGACUGAAUCUGUAUAUGAUUGAUUUCUGAAUGAAGUCUUUCAUCUUACUCUCAGUGAUUUGUGCUAGAGGUUCAACUUCCACUUAUUUGGUGAAGUAAUCGAUGGUGACCACCAUAAACUUUCACUGACC
Molecule: long non-coding RNA, 208 nt
Filed under: Elaeis guineensis (African oil palm)
Lineage: Eukaryota; Viridiplantae; Streptophyta; Magnoliopsida; Arecales; Arecaceae
Description: long non-coding RNA (EGUI_LNC058377)
Source: RNAcentral